This 107-nucleotide small RNA is filed under the name Streptococcus phage phiARI0460-2. Its description in RNAcentral is "ctRNA_pT181". The record is from RNAcentral. RNAcentral also lists the same sequence under 1 other name. Lineage: Duplodnaviria; Heunggongvirae; Uroviricota; Caudoviricetes.
AUAAAAUGGGUAUAAGAAAACGACCUUUUGAAUGGUUAUUUCUUAUACAUGAUUUCCUCACACUCAAAGUUUGGCGAUGGCGAGUGUGGGGAUUUUUUUAUUUACGA